GCGGCAAGCUUAAUACAUGCAAGUCGAGGGGCAGCAUGAAGUAGCAAUACUUUGAUGGCGACCGGCAAACGGGUGCGGAACACGUACACAACCUUCCUUUUAGUGGGGAAUAGCCCAGAGAAAUUUGGAUUAAUACCCCGUAACAUAACCGAGUGGCAUCACUUGGUUAUUAUAGCUUCGGCGCUAAAUGAUGGGUGUGCGUAUGAUUAGAUAGUUGGCGAGGUAACGGCUCACCAAGUCUACGAUCAUUAGCUGAUGUGAGAGCAUGAUCAGCCACACGGGCACUGAGACACGGGCCCGACUCCUACGGGAGGCAGCAGUAAGGAAUAUUGGUCAAUGGACGCAAGUCUGAACCAGCUAUGCCGCGUGAAGGAUUAAGGUCCUCUGGAUUGUAAACUUCUUUUAUCUGGGACGAAAAAAGGUCUUUCUAGACCCCUUGACGGUACCAGAUGAAUAAGCACCGGCUAACUCCGUGCCAGCAGCCGCGGUAAUACGGAGGGUGCAAGCGUUAUCCGGAUUCACUGGGUUUAAAGGGUGCGUAGGCGGGUAGGUAAGUCAGUGGUGAAAUCCUGGAGCUCAACUCCAGAACUGCCAUUGAUACUAUCUAUCUUGAAUAUUGUGGAGGUAAGCGGAAUAUGUCAUGUAGCGGUGAAAUGCUUAGAUAUGACAUAGAACACCCAUUGCGAAGGCAGCUUACUACGCAUAUAUUGACGCUGAGGCACGAAAGCGUGGGGAUCAAACAGGAUUAGAUACCCUGGUAGUCCACGCCCUAAACGAUGGAUACUCGACAUACGCGAUACACUGUGUGUGUCUGAGCGAAAGCAUUAAGUAUCCCACCUGGGAAGUACGUUCGCAAGAAUG
This 861-nucleotide ribosomal RNA is filed under the name uncultured bacterium. Its description in RNAcentral is "bacterial SSU rRNA". It matches the Rfam family "Bacterial small subunit ribosomal RNA", at positions 39 to 896 of the family's 1533-position model. The record is from RNAcentral.